Molecule: microRNA precursor, 110 nt
Organism: Gallus gallus (chicken)
Lineage: Eukaryota; Metazoa; Chordata; Aves; Galliformes; Phasianidae
Source: Ensembl
GCAAAGCGCUGGGGAGCCCCGAGGAGAAGUGACGGAGCAGUGCCAAUGCCCCCCUCCCCGCAUUGACGUCCGUUUAUUUCUCCCCAGCACAAAUGACGUGUGGCGUGGAU